AAGAAAGCUUUGGACAGCCGUCGAGUGGGGAGGUGAGUGGAGAGACCAGGGAGCGGAGGGAAGGGGACGAGGUCGAGCGGCGGCGGCAGGUCGAGCGGCGGUACCAUAGAACCUCACUUCCUAUGUCGAGCAGCAGGCUGCUGAGGGGCCCGGUGUAGCUGAAGACGAGGCUCCAGAGGAGGCGGCGCGCGGAGAGGCUGAGCCGCGAGUAGGAGCAGCUGCGGCAGCUCUCGCAGGUGUAGGUCUGGGUGCGGCGCAACGCGGUCCGGAAGGAGCUCGCGGAGGCGGGGACGGAGCAGGAGUUGUUCGAGCUGGCGGAGUAGUGGCUCGAGGUGGAGUGGGUGCGGCUCCGGCUAUGCGCGGACGUGGCGUAGGAGCGGCUGCAGUUGAGGUAGAUGAGGCGCGACGCGAGCGUGAGGAUGAAGAGGCAGGAGCGCAGGGAGCUCCUGGUUGGUAGGAGGUCGAGCAGUCGGAGUGUCCUGCUAGGGGGCCUUCUACGACUGCUGCUACUCCUCCUGCGGAAGGUCGGGGUUUUCCCGUUACAGCAGAAGCGGACGCGGGAGCUACCGACCCCGAAGGCGUAGGUGGUGAAGCAUCUCAACAUACGGUGGUUCGAACCGCGGUCGCGGAGACGAAACGACUCUCCUACAACUUAGUUCACUACCACACUAUUGGUACCUUCUACCUUCAUUUAGUAGUCGUCUAUGAGGACUUAGCAAUGUAGAUCUUAGACACCGUGAUACCUUGUCGUAAGAAAGUCCUAAAGUCAAAUGGUGCUUGUGUCCCGGAAAUACACUGCUUGGUUACACCCUAGACCGUAAAUAGUAACUCGGAAUGUAUAAACGACCGUUGAGACUACGACGGGUAGUUAGACUAGUUAUGUUGUAGAAGUCACCGGUUCAUUAUUGGCGUCAAUUUCUUCGUACGGCUCGUCGGCAAGAAGUCUUGUUGGGUUCCGAACAGCUUCCGUACAUAAAGACACUUAACUGGUGGGGCUGAGUCGUUGAUCCAAGUUGUAUACGUCAAGAACCGUCCUCUGCUCGCUUCUAAAAUUUUCUUCUUUACGUUCUUCCCUGAAGUCAUAAAUCUCACGUACGAAUGAACGUACAACGGCUCUCGUAACCUAAAAGAUCAGUCGAGUCCUGUAAUUGUAGUCCACGUCGGUCGCGCGACGAACAAAAAUCGGUAACCCUACGAUAAGUCCUCCUGGGAAAAAAAUAGGGUUUCAGUGUCCUCCUCUAACUUCUUAAACCUCUACCCCGUUCGUAACCCGGUUUGAACCGGUUCUUUGAAUACUUAAGACACUCCGCCUCCUUUCCUAACGUGCAACUUCUCUUUCAACACCUCGUACCGUGCUUUGUCGCUUGAGAGAGAUCCUUUUGUAUCGACAUGAAAAAACAAUCCAUCCCUUUGACAUAGUAACAGGGGCCAAACACGACCAUUUGACGUUAUGUUCUGAUAGUUUAUACCUUAGAUACACUGGUAUACCGAAACUAACAAAAAGUA
This 1506-nucleotide ribosomal RNA is filed under the name Triticum aestivum (bread wheat). Its description in RNAcentral is "partial small subunit ribosomal RNA". The record is from RNAcentral. Lineage: Eukaryota; Viridiplantae; Streptophyta; Magnoliopsida; Poales; Poaceae.